AUAAUGACGUGUGUGUGACCUAUAAUGCAACUGAUUAAACAUUGAAGAGUGGGAAAAAUCUAAAUAAUUUCUGUCUGGUCUGUAGUGCAGAACUCAAAUUGGGCAUGGUGCUCAUGACACUGCAAACAUCUGGAGGUCUUCCUAAGUAAACAUUCAGACAGAUUCAGUCAGAACCUGGUACUGCCUGAGACCAGAGCAGGGAAGUCGCUUGCUGCAGGGAUGAAUAGCGCUGAAAGUAGUAAUAAGCAAUGUUCUUCUGAAAGCACAGAUGAGAGGAAGAAUAAUACUGUCAUUUUUCAUGCAGAUAUCAAGCCAGAGAUGGAAGACUGCUUGGGGAAGACAUAACUGCUUAGCUGCAGAUUGUGUAGCUGCUGCAGGCAUAAAGCACUUUGCCUAACUAUUGCCCAGAAGACAUAGGUACCGUGUGCAGUAUUUUUUACAUUGGGAUGCGGUUUGGGAUUGUGGAUGCUCUUAGACAACUGUAGUUUGGGGGCAGGAAUCAACAACUCCCCAUGCACUAAUUCAUUUUGAACUCAUGAAGUUUUGGUUACUCUCAUGUGAACAGGCUGUGUUUUACUCUCACAAGUGUAGCACAUCCUUCUAGCCCAGUUUCUCACUUGCCAGCCAAGAUAUUUCCACCUUGCAAAUGGUGGCUUAUCAUGGUACAGACUGGAGUGAAAAUUUGUAAUCAAGGACUAGGUGUGGGAUAAGAUCUCCCUUCCAUGCAAAUCCAAAGUGAACCAACUUGGUAAGCAGCUUUUAGUAGCAAUUAGUUAUUGUUAUUAAUUAUAAUUGUAAGAAUUAUAAAUCAUCAGUCAAAACAACAACAACAACAAUAACAACAACAACAUCAUGUUGAUAUGUUAAUUUCACUAAGGUAAGUACUGUGGCACCAUCUCAAUGUAAUUUUCUCCAGGAAAGAGAAGCAUUUCACAACAGUGAAUGGCAAAAGCAGGACAUAGCUUGUGACCUGAAUAUCUGUACAGAUCAAGGCAUGAGAAAUCCUUUGGAGCAGAACAGAGCUGGAUGGAAAUAGAAAUGUGCAAUACAAAACUAGCUAUCAAACAAUUCCAUAUGUUUCUCAUGAAUUUUUUCUAAUUUGGUUUUAAACAGGGAAAAAGUCUCAGAAUGAAGGCUUUGUCCAAACUACAUAUGGUUUGCGUGGACAGGGGAGAAGUGAACAGUGGGGACAUCUUGACUUCAGUAAGGCUUUUGAGACUGUUUCCCCUACAUGCCCAUAGGUAGCUCAGGAACUCUGGGCUAGCUGAGACGACAGUGAUGUGAAUUGGAGAACUGGCUGAAUGACAGAGCUCAGAGGGCUGUGACCAGUGGCACAGGGUGUAGCUGGAGGCCUGUAGCUGGUGGGGUUCCUCAGGGGUCAGUUCUGGCUUCAGUCU
This 1397-nucleotide long non-coding RNA is filed under the name Cyanistes caeruleus (blue tit). RNAcentral's name for it is "lncRNA (ENSCCEG00000017357.1)". The record is from RNAcentral. Lineage: Eukaryota; Metazoa; Chordata; Aves; Passeriformes; Paridae.